AAUAGAUACCCCGGUAGUCCACGCCGUAAACGGUGGGCACUAGGUGUGGGCGACAUUCCACGUCGUCCGUGCCGCAGCUAACGCAUUAAGUGCCCCGCCUGGGGAGUACGGCCGCAAGGCUAAAACUCAAAGGAAUUGACGGGGGCCCGCACAAGCGGCGGAGCAUGUGGCUUAAUUCGACGCAACGCGAAGAACCUUACCAAGGCUUGACAUACACCGGAAACGUCCAGAGAUGGGCGCCCCCUUGUGGUCGGUGUACAGGUGGUGCAUGGCUGUCGUCAACUCGUGUCGUGAGAUGUUGGGUUAAGUCCCGCAACGAGCGCAACCCUUGUCCCGUGUUGCCAGCAGGCCCUUGUGGUGCUGGGGACUCACGGGAGACCGCCGGGGUCAACUCGGAGGAAGGUGGGGACGACGUCAAGUCAUCAUGCCCCUUAUGUCUUGGGCUGCACACGUGCUACAAUGGCCGGUACAAUGAGCUGCGAUACCGCGAGGUGGAGCGAAUCUCAAGAAGCCGGUCUCAGUUCGGAUUGGGGU
This 534-nucleotide ribosomal RNA is filed under the name uncultured bacterium. RNAcentral describes it as "bacterial SSU rRNA". It matches the Rfam family "Bacterial small subunit ribosomal RNA", at positions 777 to 1304 of the family's 1533-position model. The record is from RNAcentral.